Molecule: non-coding RNA, 265 nt
Organism: Pelobates cultripes (western spadefoot toad)
Lineage: Eukaryota; Metazoa; Chordata; Amphibia; Anura; Pelobatidae
Source: the annotation of a GenBank genome assembly
UGAAUUACCAAGAGAUUCUCAUGUAAAUACCAAGUGAAUCAGAGCAGGAUUAGCCAUACAGCGAUGAAAGAAGUCUACUAGAGCUCAAGGGCUAGACAGAGGACCUAGAAAUCAUUCUCUGAUGUGAAUGUCAUGCAAAUAUGCACCGCUUUCUGGCACUAUUGUUUGCACCUGACAAAGUCUGAUUUUAUAAAUGACCAGUCAAAUAAACCCACAAUACGAGCAAUGUGUAAGUCAGGAUAGCGUUAAAUAUGCCUUGUGCGUG